RNAcentral lists this ribosomal RNA (437 nucleotides) under uncultured bacterium. Its description in RNAcentral is "partial 16S ribosomal RNA". It matches the Rfam family "Bacterial small subunit ribosomal RNA", at positions 341 to 792 of the family's 1533-position model. The record is from RNAcentral.
ACGGAAGGCAGCAGUGGGGAAUAUUGGGCAAUGGGCGCAAGCCUGACCCAGCAACGCCGCGUGAAGGAAGAAGGUUUUCGGAUUGUAAACUUCUGUCCUUGGUGACGAAGGAAGUGACGGUAGCCAAGGAGGAAGCCCCGGCUAACUACGUGCCAGCAGCCGCGGCAAUACGUAGGGGGCAAGCGUUGUCCGGAAUGACUGGGCGUAAAGGGCGUGUAGGCGGCUUUUUAAGUCUGAAGUGAAAGUCCUGCUUUCAAGGUGGGAAUUGCUUUGGAGACUGGAAGGCUUGAGUGCGGAAGAGGUAAGUGGAAUUCCCAGUGUAGCGGUGAAAUGCGUAGAGAUUGGGAGGAACACCAGUGGCGAAGGCGACUUACUGGGCCGUAACUGACGCUGAGGCGCGAAAGCGUGGGGAGCAAACAGGAUUAGAUACCCUGGUA